RNAcentral lists this long non-coding RNA (337 nucleotides) under Homo sapiens (human). RNAcentral describes it as "HSALNT0406407". Lineage: Eukaryota; Metazoa; Chordata; Mammalia; Primates; Hominidae. The record is from RNAcentral.
AUUCGAUACCAUUGAAGCCGUCAGAUAGAGGCCGUAUUUCAAAAGGUCUACGGUGGCUCCGUUUCUUCUCUGAGACUUCAAAAGUCCUUCAAGAGUGAGUUCCCGUCUCAUUCUAUGUCCAGGAUGAAGACGGAUGGCCUCUUGGCACCCAUCUCUUUGGCAUGAACGAUGUGGGGAAACGUGAAUGGAAAUGGGGAACUGUUGCUGGCACCCAGAAGUCAUCCGGUCCGGAUGAAGCCAAGUCACAAGGAAGUGCCUCCAAUUAUUCUUCAUAAAUUCCUCUGAGGUUUCACUUCUUGUCCACACAAGACUUUAAUAAAAUGUGGCAUCUAACUGA